RNAcentral lists this ribosomal RNA (850 nucleotides) under Pigeon pea witches'-broom phytoplasma. RNAcentral's name for it is "bacterial SSU rRNA". It matches the Rfam family "Bacterial small subunit ribosomal RNA", at positions 412 to 1277 of the family's 1533-position model. Lineage: Bacteria; Bacillati; Mycoplasmatota; Mollicutes; Acholeplasmatales; Acholeplasmataceae. The record is from RNAcentral.
AGUACUUCGGUAUGUAAAGUUCUUUUAUUGAAAAAGAAAAAAUAGUGGAAAAACUAUCUUGACAUUAUUCAAUGAAUAAGCCCCGGCUAAUUAUGUGCCAGCAGCCGCGGUAAUACAUAAGGGGCGAGCGUUAUCCGGAAUUAUUGGGCGUAAAGGGUGCGUAGGCGGUUUGAUAAGUCUAUAGUUUAAAUGCAGUGCUUAACGCUGUAGCGCUAUAGAAACUGUCUGACUAGAGUUAGAUAGAGGCAAGCGGAAUUCCAUGUGUAGCGGUAAAAUGCGUAAAUAUAUGGAGGAACACCAGAGGCGUAGGCGGCUUGCUGGGUCUUAACUGACGCUGAGGCACGAAAGCGUGGGGAGCAAACAGGAUUAGAUACCCUGGUAGUCCAUGCCGUAAACGAUGAGUACUAAGUGUCGGGUUUCGGCUCGGUACUGAAGUUAACACAUUAAGUACUCCGCCUGAGUAGUACGUACGCAAGUAUGAAACUUAAAGGAAUUGACGGGACCCCGCACAAGCGGUGGAUCAUGUUGUUUAAUUCGAAGAUACACGAAAAACCUUACCAGGUCUUGACAUAAUUUUGCGACAUUAUAGAAAUAUAAUGAAGGUUAUCAGAAUUACAGGUGGUGCAUGGUUGUCGUCAGCUCGUGUCGUGAGAUGUUAGGUUAAGUCCUAAAACGAGCGCAACCCUUGUCGUUAGUUGCGACCACGUAAUGGUGAGCACUUUAGCGAGACUGCCAAUGAAAAAUUGGAGGAAGGUGAGGAUUACGUCAAAUCAUCAUGCCCCUUAUGAUCUGGGCUACAAACGUGAUACAAUGGCUGUUACAAAGAGUAUCCUGAAAAAGUUUAUUUUUU